GUUUGUUUCUGACACUGAAUACACCCAAUCUCAUCUGAUCUACAAAGCUAAACAGGGUUGGGCCUGGUUAGUAUUUGGAUGGGAGACUACCUGGGAAUACCAGGUGCUGUAAGCU
This 115-nucleotide ribosomal RNA is filed under the name Amphiprion percula (orange clownfish). Lineage: Eukaryota; Metazoa; Chordata; Actinopteri; Pomacentridae. The record is from RNAcentral.